CCUACGGGCGGCUGCAGUGAGGAAUAUUGGUCAAUGGGCGGAAGCCUGAACCAGCCAAGUCGCGUGAGGGAUUAAGGCCCUGCGGGUCGUAAACCUCUUUUGCCGGGGAGCAGUGGUCCUGACGCGUCCGGACCGGGAGAGUACCCGGAGAAAAAGCAUCGGCUAACUCCGUGCCAGCAGCCGCGGUAGUACGGAGGAUGCGAGCGUUAUCAGGAUUUAUUGGGUGUGAAGGGUGCGUAGGCGGGCAUUUAAGCCGGCGGUGAAAUGUCGGGGCUCAACCCCGGCCUGCCGUUGGAACUGGGUGCCUUGAGUGGGCGAGAAGUGUGCGGAACGCGUGGUGUAGCGGUGAAAUGCAUAGAUAUCACGCAGAACCCCGAUGGCGAAGGCAGCAUACCGGCGCCCUACUGACGCUGAGGCACGAAAGUGCGGGUAUCGAACAGGAUUAGAUACCCUUGUAGUC
RNAcentral lists this ribosomal RNA (460 nucleotides) under uncultured bacterium. Its description in RNAcentral is "partial 16S ribosomal RNA". It matches the Rfam family "Bacterial small subunit ribosomal RNA", at positions 338 to 795 of the family's 1533-position model. The record is from RNAcentral.